RNAcentral lists this long non-coding RNA (856 nucleotides) under Gallus gallus (chicken). Its description in RNAcentral is "long non-coding RNA NONGGAT007989". The record is from RNAcentral. Lineage: Eukaryota; Metazoa; Chordata; Aves; Galliformes; Phasianidae.
CUGGGACCUUGUUAUGAAAAUCAGCUCAGUGCACAGUGUGGCCUCAGUCAGAGAAAAACCACCUGGAGCAGCCCUGGGUUUGCAGCCACAUCAGGACAACGAGCAAAGGAGCACAGAGACAGGCAGAACUUCCUCGGUUACAUGGUUUGUUUAUAAAACCCCCAUUUAACCUACAGCUUCGAGGGAUCUGAACAUCAGAUAACAGACUGCUCCAGAGUUCAGUCUUUUCCCAGGCUGGGCCAGUAACUGAUGCUUUCACAUUGCUCUGGAACACCUAAUGAAAAGAUAAGCAACGCAUCCGCCUGCCAAAAUUCUCACUAGCAAAACGCUUCCACACAGAGGUCAUUUAAUGAGCAGAGUAAGGACAAGCAGGAUCAAAACACUGAAGAAACAUCCACUGUGCAGUCAUAUGAUUUCCUUGGAUCUGUUUCUAAAGAGAUGUUUUGGAUUUUAUUCAGAUGUUGGCAAUGCUCACAAUGUAGGAUGAUAUAUGAACGAAGGACAUGGGACCACUAUGUGCCUGCAUAGUCUGCUUCUUCUGGCCAAACAGGACUACAGGUCCAAUGAUGUCACUUGAUUUACUUUACCCAGUACAUUCAGGUACUGAAGCUACGCUCUUCAUUACUGUUAAGACAUGCAGAGGAGUGCAGAAUGCUGCCAGGUGGAGACUCUUGAGAAAUGACGUGUAGAGCCAAACACAGCAAAUCCCUCAGGACAAGAGUCGAUACAGACAGACAAGAGAAGAGGAGAUAAUGACCUCUCACUGCUGUACCAGGCAGACAGAGUCAAGAAAUUACAGAGGAACCAGUAACUGAACUCCUGAAUUUACUGUGUUUAUCAAAAUAGUGAGUGAGCU